ACAGCAGUCGCCACGGUAAUACGAAGGGUGCAAGCGUUACUCGGAAUUACUGGGCGUAAAGCGUGCGUAGGUGGUGGUUUAAGUCCGUUGUGAAAGCCCUGGGCUCGACCUGGGAAUUGCAGUGGAUACUGGGUCACUAGAGUGUGGUAGAGGAUAGUGGAAUUUCCGGUGUAGCAGUGAAAUGCGUAGAGAUCGGAAGGAACAUCUGUGGCGAAGGCGACUAUCUGGGCCAACACUGACACUGAGGCACGAAAGCGUGGGGAGCAAACAGGAUUAGAUACCCCUGUAGUCCCUGUCUCUUAUAA
Molecule: ribosomal RNA, 305 nt
Filed under: uncultured bacterium
Lineage: Bacteria
Description: partial 16S ribosomal RNA
Rfam family: Bacterial small subunit ribosomal RNA
Source: RNAcentral